AUACGGAGGGUGCAAGCGUUAAUCGGAAUUACUGGGCGUAAAGCGUACGUAGGCGGUUCGUUAAGUUAGAUGUGAAAGCCCCGGGCUUAACCUGGGAACUGCAUUUAAAACUGGCGAACUAGAGUUGAGUAGAGGGGAGUGGAAUUUCAGGUGUAGCGGUGAAAUGCGUAGAGAUCUGAAGGAACACCAGUGGCGAAGGCGACUCCCUGGACUCGAACUGACGCUGAGGUACGAAAGCGCGGGUAGCAAACGGGAUUAGAAACCCCAGUAGUCC
This 274-nucleotide ribosomal RNA is filed under the name uncultured bacterium. RNAcentral's name for it is "partial 16S ribosomal RNA". It matches the Rfam family "Bacterial small subunit ribosomal RNA", at positions 523 to 796 of the family's 1533-position model. The record is from RNAcentral.